CAUCAACUUCUCUCACAACCUAGGCCAGCUCCUGUCUCCCCCCAGGUGUGUGGUGAUGCCAGGCAUGCCCUUCCCCAGCAUCAGGUCUCCAGAGCUGCAGAAGACGACGGCCGACUUGGAUCACACUCUUGCAGGGCCAUCAGGCACCAAAGGGAUUCUGCCAGCAUAGUGCUCCUGGACCAGUGAUACACCCGGCACCCUGUCCUGGACA
This is a long non-coding RNA of Homo sapiens (human), 211 nucleotides long. RefSeq lists it as uncharacterized. The transcript has 3 exons. The record is from RefSeq and is a predicted model, not a curated record. Lineage: Eukaryota; Metazoa; Chordata; Mammalia; Primates; Hominidae.